AAUAUUGGACAAUGGGCGAAAGCCUGAUCCAGCCAUCACGCGUGUAUGAUGAAGGCCUUCGGGUUGUACAGUACUUUUGGCAGCGAAGAAACGGUAUCUCCUAACACGAGAUACUGCUGACGGUAUCUGCAGAAUAAGCACCGGCUAACUACGUGCCAGCUGCCGCGGUAAUACGUAGGGUGCAAGCGUUAAUCGGAAUUAAUGGGCGUAAAGCGUGUGUAGGCGGUUCGGAAAGAAAGAUGUGAAAUCCCAGGGCUCAACCUUGGAACUGCAUUUUUAACUGCCGAGCUAGAGUAUGUCAGAGGGGGGUAGAAUUCCACGUGUAGCAGUGGAAUGCGUAGAUAUGUGGAGGAAUACCGAUGGCGAAGGCAGCCCCCUGGGAUAAUACUGACGCUCAGACACGAAAGCGUGGGUAGCAAACAGG
RNAcentral lists this ribosomal RNA (424 nucleotides) under uncultured bacterium. RNAcentral's name for it is "partial 16S ribosomal RNA". It matches the Rfam family "Bacterial small subunit ribosomal RNA", at positions 360 to 776 of the family's 1533-position model. The record is from RNAcentral.